This 1968-nucleotide long non-coding RNA is filed under the name Oreochromis niloticus (Nile tilapia). RNAcentral's name for it is "lncRNA (ENSONIG00000033617.1)". Lineage: Eukaryota; Metazoa; Chordata; Actinopteri; Cichliformes; Cichlidae. The record is from RNAcentral.
UAUUUCUGUAUUUUGUUUAGUAUAUUUUACAAGUAAGCACUAAUGCUGUUGCAUUAUAGUGCAGUGCAGUGAUCAUUAUGUUUGUUCUAAUAGAUGUAUUAACAACACCGUAAAGCGAUGAAAGCUUUGUUUUCAUAUUUAGCAUAAUGAUCUAGAGAGUGCAACAUACAAUUGUGUGUUGCUUCUGUGGCUCUUCUAUUAAAUCAUCUUUUACAAUGGUUCCCAACACGUGAAAGAAAGAAACUGCUGACAUGCUGAAAGGAAGCGGUUACAAAUGAGGACCAGAUAUGCCGCAUGCAGUAAAAGACUCAGGCCUUGUGGAAGGAAUUUGAUGGGAAAAAACUGACCAUAUACCUUUUUGAAGCUUUUGAUUGGGACAUGUGAAGGUCAACGAACACAGUGAGCAGGAUAUGACCCCUGGCCUCUCGAGUAUUUUUAUUCCUGUGCGGGCAAAGAGCGGUCACACUCUUUAACAUGACUGAGUUUUUCCACUGUGUAAAGUCAGCAUGGAAGUGACACCAGCUGAAGGAGGCGUUAAGCUGCCGUAGUUGUGCAAGCCGUUUUCCUCAGAAUUUUUUCCCCCACUAGAGAGCUGGAGGAGGUUGCUGGAAAACCCCCUCACUGGCAGCGUCCAGCCAGGAUGACUUUCCCCUCAACUGACUUUCCUCAAACCGAGUAUUUCUACACCUCUGCUCGAGCCACAUGGAAAUGAUUUGCGCCAUCAGACAGUCAAAUUCCAGCUGUGGACGGUGACCAGACACAUGUAGUCAUGAUGAAGGGAGUCAUCCUUCAUCGAGGAAUAAAAAAAGCAACGUUGCACGUGCCGUGCCAUCAUCCUUCAUGUAUAAUGUAGCAGAGUUAACAGGUGCACUCAUCUUGCAGAAACAACAACUGCUGUUCAGCAUGUGCAGCACUUGCCAAGAUCGAGGGGAUUUAUUGCUGCCAAAUUCUUCAAGCAACAAGGGAAAGCCAAACCCUAUCAGUUGUUCUGCAUGGAAAUCUGUUCAACUAAUCCAAACAGUUAAAUAAUGCGUUGUAAAACGUUAGCUCAUAAAGGUCCUAUAGCUUUUCAACAAACAUGCCCAUUUUUAAAUGAGUUCAUCACUUAUUUAUGAAGAUGACUGUGCUUGACAUGCAUGCAAUUCUUAGAUCUGUAAGUGCACGAGUACAAUACAUGCAGUGCAGUGGUGCAUUAUACAGAAUGUUUGCAAAGAUUUGAGAAAUAUGGCAGAAAAUUCAUUUUAUGAGAAGAGAAAUUGCCAGGAAAAAAAUCCUGAGAUGAAUCCCAUUCAUUCUUUUAUGAUAGUUUCAUAAACAAGGGACUGAUAACGUAUUUAAUGUCUUCAAUAUGCAGCUGCAACAAGUCUAGUACACCAAACUAAGCAGUCAAAUCUGAGCAAUGUUACCAAAUUAUAACACACAGCAGAAUGAAAAUCAUGUCAACACGUGAAUGUUAGUGAUCAUAAACAAACACUUUGAAAUUAGCUAACAGUUGUUUCGCUAUGCACGCAAAAAUCCUAUACAGCACAACAGCAUCUUUAAGCUUCAAAAUUACUUUUUGCCUGACAGUAAAAACAACAAAAGGAAGUCAAAGGUUACCAGUAAGCGUCCAAGCACUUGUCUGAAUUCCCAUUAAUCCUCUCAUUGAGAGCCAGUGAUCAAUACUGUUCACAGCCCCAGAUUCACAGAAAGUGGAUUUCGCGAGAAGUGCACAUGUUUCACUGCUGAAUGAAAGCCUGCCCUUUCUAGAAGCUCUCCUCUGUUUCUGUCCUUCUUCCUCUCAAACCGGCCCCCCUCACUCCGGACUUUUACUGGCCCACAGCCACCCUCAAUUACCAUGGGUGGAAAGAGAAGCAGAUAAGGAGAGCAUGAAAUAGUGAACCAGACAACCCAUCUCCGACAGUCCAAAGGGAAAAUAAUAGUAAUGAACAGAACUUCUUUCCAAGUGUUGAGGGUUUGGAUUGUUGC